CUGGAGGUAUCAGAAGUGCGAAUGCUGACAUAAGUAACGAUAAAGCGGGUGAAAAGCCCGCUCGCCGGAAGACCAAGGGUUCCUGUCCAACGUUAAUCGGGGCAGGGUGAGUCGACCCCUAAGGCGAGGCCGAAAGGCGUAGUCGAUGGGAAACAGGUUAAUAUUCCUGUACUUGGUGUUACUGCGAAGGGGGGACGGAGAAGGCUAUGUUGGCCGGGCGACGGUUGUCCCGGUUUAAGCGUGUAGGCUGGUUUUCCAGGCAAAUCCGGAAAAUCAAGGCUGAGGCGUGAUGACGAGGCACUACGGUGCUGAAGCAACAAAUGCCCUGCUUCCAGGAAAAGCCUCUAAGCAUCAGGUAACAUCAAAUCGUACCCCAAACCGACACAGGUGGUCAGGUAGAGAAUACCAAGGCGCUUGAGAGAACUCGGGUGAAGGAACUAGGCAAAAUGGUGCCGUAACUUCGGGAGAAGGCACGCUGAUAUGUAGGUGAAGCGACUUGCUCGUGGAGCUGAAAUCAGUCGAAGAUACCAGCUGGCUGCAACUGUUUAUUAAAAACACAGCACUGUGCAAACACGAAAGUGGACGUAUACGGUGUGACGCCUGCCCGGUGCCGGAAGGUUAAUUGAUGGGGUCAGCGCAAGCGAAGCUCUU
RNAcentral lists this ribosomal RNA (651 nucleotides) under Escherichia coli. RNAcentral describes it as "partial 23S ribosomal RNA". It matches the Rfam family "Bacterial large subunit ribosomal RNA", at positions 1273 to 1909 of the family's 2925-position model. The record is from RNAcentral. Lineage: Bacteria; Pseudomonadati; Pseudomonadota; Gammaproteobacteria; Enterobacterales; Enterobacteriaceae.